RNA transcript from Macaca mulatta (Rhesus monkey), 1426 nucleotides. It is a transcript of the gene named small ribosomal subunit protein uS5m pseudogene, with no coding region annotated. The record is from RefSeq and is a predicted model, not a curated record. NCBI's taxonomy places the organism in Eukaryota, Metazoa, Chordata, Mammalia, Primates, Cercopithecidae.
CACACAGUUUAAGAGUGCAAUUAGGCUCGGGCUCCAGCAUGGCGACCGCGGCGCGUGUUGUGGGCCGGCUGCCCGCGCUGUGUAGCGGGACGGCAGGUCAUUUAUUGGGGAGGCAGCGUUCCCUAAGCACCUUACCAGCAGCUUCCAUUUUGGUGUGGAAGAGUGCUCUGAGCAAUGGCUGUUUGUCAUCACUGGGAACCAGAGACACCCAUCCCUACGCCAGCUUGAGCCACGCGCUGCAGACACAAUGCUGUGUUUCUUCUCCCAGUCACCUGAUGGGCCAGCAAUAUAGACCAUAUAGUUUCUUCACUAAAUUGACUGCAGAUGAGCUGUGGAAAGGCGCUUUAGCGGAGAGUGGUGCCGGAUCAAGAAAAGGAAGAGGCAAAAGAACUAAAAAGAGGAAAAGAAAGGAUCUGAACAGGGGUCAGAUCAUUGGGAAGGGCAUUACGGUUUUCUGUGGCCUGGUCUGAAUGUCCCUCUUAUGAAAAAUGGAGCAGUGCAGACCAUCGCCCAAAGAAGCAAGGAAGAGCAGAAGAAGAUGGAGGCCGACAUGAUCCAGCAGAGAGAAGAGUGGGACCGAAAGAGGAAGAUAAAGGUUAAACGCGAGCGAGGAUGGAGUGGAAACUCCUGGGGAGGCGUCAGUCUUGGCCCCCCUGACCCUGGCCCCAAUGGAGGUAAGAAAUGUUUUCAAUAUGACAGCGAAAGAGGGAAGAAAGAAAUGGGUCCGUGUCCUGGUGGCUGUGGGGAACGGAAAAGGAGCUGCAGGUUUUGCUAUUGGGAAAGCCACUGAUCGGAUGGACGCUUUCAGGAGAGCAAAGAACAGAGCAGUUCACUGUUUGCAUUAUAUAGAACGAUAUGAAGACCAUACAAUAUUCCAUGAUAUUUCAUUAAGAUUUAAAAGGACGCGUAUCAGGAUGAAGAAACAACCCAAAGGUUACGGCCUCCACUGCCACAGAGCCAUCAUCACCAUCUGCCGGCUCAUUGGCAUCAAAGACAUGUACGCCAAGGUCUCUGGGUCUGUUAAUAUGAUCAGCCUCACCCGGGGCCUCUUCCAUGGGCUCUCCAGACAGGAAACCCAUCAGCAGCUGGCUGAUAAGAAGGGUCUCCAUGUUGUGGAAAUCCGGGAGGAGUGUGGCCCUCUGCCCAUUGUGGUGGCCUCCCCCCGGGGGGCCCUGAGGAAGGAUCCGGAGCCAGAAGAGGAUGUUCCAGACAUCAAACUGGACUGGCAAGACGUGAAGGCCGCGCAGGGGAUGAAGCGCUCUGUGUGGGCUAAUUUGAAGAGAGCCGCCACGUAAGCUCUCUGGCCUUGUGCAGCCAGUUCCUGUACCUCGGAGAGACCAGGAGAGACUCAGCCCCUCACAGCUUGGGGCGUGGCCUUGGUUUUUGUUUGUUUUGAGGAAAGUUUAAUCUGUAAACUCUUCAGAAA